UUGACAGCCCUGGACACUGAGGGGUCUUUAUCUACAGAGCAGUUAAAACCCAGGCACUGGUAAUGAAAGCUUGGUGCCUGAUGAGUGCCUCCACCCUGGACAGGAGAGGCUGUCUCUAGGACUGAGGAGGAGAGCAUUUUCUUGGUCCAUUCAGUCUUUGACUUUU
Molecule: small RNA, 166 nt
Filed under: Parus major (Great Tit)
Lineage: Eukaryota; Metazoa; Chordata; Aves; Passeriformes; Paridae
Description: TUC338 (ENSPMJG00000006021.1)
Source: RNAcentral